Molecule: ribosomal RNA, 265 nt
Filed under: uncultured archaeon
Lineage: Archaea
Description: partial 16S ribosomal RNA
Rfam family: Archaeal small subunit ribosomal RNA
Source: RNAcentral
ACACGACUACAUUAGAUACCCCCGUAGUCCUGGCCGUAAACGAUGUGGACUUGGUGUUGGGAUGGCUCCGAGCUGCCCCAGUGCCGAAGGGAAGCUGUUAAGUCCACCGCCUGGGAAGUACGGCCGCAAGGCUGAAACUUAAAGGAGUUGGCGGGGGAGCACCACAACAGGUGGAGCCUGCGGUUUAAUUGGAUUCAACGCCGGGCAUCUCACCGGAUAAGACAGCUGAAUGAUUGUCAAUCUGAAGGUUUUACAUGACUAGCUG